This 292-nucleotide ribosomal RNA is filed under the name uncultured bacterium. RNAcentral's name for it is "partial 16S ribosomal RNA". It matches the Rfam family "Bacterial small subunit ribosomal RNA", at positions 505 to 796 of the family's 1533-position model. The record is from RNAcentral.
GUGCCAGCAGCCGCGGUAAAACGUAGGGGACAAGCGUUAUCCGGAUUUACUGGGCGUAAAGCGCAUGUAGGUGGCUUGACAAGUUGGACGUGAAAGCUCCCGGCUUAACUGGGAGAGGUCGUUCAAAACUGGCAAGCUAGAGGUUGGAAGAGGAGAGCAGAAUUCCCGGUGUAGUGGUGGAAUGCGUAGAUAUCGGGAGGAAUACCAGUGGCGAAAGCGGCUCUCUGGUUCAAUACUGACACUGAGAUGCGAAAGCGUGGGGAGCGAACGGGAUUAGAUACCCCGGUAGUCC